RNAcentral lists this long non-coding RNA (208 nucleotides) under Elaeis guineensis (African oil palm). RNAcentral's name for it is "long non-coding RNA (EGUI_LNC050603)". Lineage: Eukaryota; Viridiplantae; Streptophyta; Magnoliopsida; Arecales; Arecaceae. The record is from RNAcentral.
GCACCAACAACUUUCUUUGUUUGAAAUUUUUUUUUCUAGUUUACAUCUUAACUCUAAUUCAGAUCGCAUUCGAAUUAGACAGGGGAUAAGAUUAUGACUUAUCAAUCAUUUCCACCCACCCUUAUUGGGUCAACUAUUUUGACACCAAAAAGAUCAAGCCAAAUCUAAUUUGGCAUGCAGAUGUGGGCAUAAGUCCAAGUGUGGCGCA